ACAGGAUACCUCCAAUUCAAAAGGAGGAUCCAGCAUAAUAGAGGCCAGACAGGUGAUUUGCAUACUCAAGAGAAGAAGCCAUAAUAGAAGAAGGCAGAGGAGGAUUCUGUGUUGAAAGCAAGCAAAGAUGGGCACAAUCUGACCGGAGCUUCCGUAAACUUCUCAUGGGAACACCUGGCUCGUUUUUCCUGCUGGGAGAUGGCAGGUUCUUGCAUUUGAUACUUGAGUGGGCCAGCUGGGGUAACUGGACAAGGUCUGACUCUGGGCCUGCAUCACUUUCGCGGGCUGGCAAUUCUUUUCCACCCUGAGCAUCUGUAGAGUCAUCCAACUGUGUUUGCAAAACUUGGUUGUAUGUGAGAAGUGUGUUUGUUUUAUGAUCAGUGUCUUGGGUUUUAAAUAAGAAUACUGCAGGAGAUGAUCCCCCUAUGAUCCUUGUUAAUGUAUCUCUAGGCUAAUAAGUACGGAGAUGAUCCUGCUCUUUGAUUUCAUGAAUAAGAAAAUAAAAUGGGAAAUGCAUGACAUUU
Molecule: non-coding RNA, 524 nt
Filed under: Pongo abelii (Sumatran orangutan)
Lineage: Eukaryota; Metazoa; Chordata; Mammalia; Primates; Hominidae
Source: RNAcentral